This 497-nucleotide ribosomal RNA is filed under the name uncultured bacterium. RNAcentral describes it as "partial 16S ribosomal RNA". It matches the Rfam family "Bacterial small subunit ribosomal RNA", at positions 28 to 507 of the family's 1533-position model. The record is from RNAcentral.
GAUGAACGCUGGCGGCGUGCCUAAUACAUGCAAGUCGAGCGAACAGACGAGGAGCUUGCUCCUCUGACGUUAGCGGCGGACGGGUGAGUAACACGUGGAUAACCUACCUAUAAGACUGGGAUCACUUCGGGAAACCGGAGCUAAUACCGGAUAAUAUAUUGAACCGCAUGGUUCAAUAGUGAAAGACGGUUUUGCUGUCACUUAUAGCUGGAUCCGCGCCGCAUUAGCUAGUUGGUAAGGUAACGGCUUACCAAGGCAACGAUGCGUAGCCGACCUGAGAGGGUGAUCGGCCACACUGGAACUGAGACACGGUCCAGACUCCUACGGGAGGCAGCAGUAGGGAAUCUUCCGCAAUGGGCGAAAGCUUGACGGAGCAACGCCGCGUGAGUGAUGAAGGUCUUCGGAUCGUAAAACUCUGUUAUUAGGGAAGAACAAAUGUGUAAGUAACUAUGCACGUCUUGACGGUACCUAAUCAGAAAGCCACGGCUAACUACGUG